This 558-nucleotide ribosomal RNA is filed under the name Pseudomonas sp. PM-2. RNAcentral describes it as "bacterial SSU rRNA". It matches the Rfam family "Bacterial small subunit ribosomal RNA", at positions 139 to 692 of the family's 1533-position model. The record is from RNAcentral. Lineage: Bacteria; Pseudomonadati; Pseudomonadota; Gammaproteobacteria; Pseudomonadales; Pseudomonadaceae.
GGGGACAACGUUUCGAAAGGAACGCUAAUACCGCAUACGUCCUACGGGAGAAAGCAGGGGACCUUCGGGCCUUGCGCUAUCAGAUGAGCCUAGGUCGGAUUAGCUAGUUGGUGAGGUAAUGGCUCACCAAGGCGACGAUCCGUAACUGGUCUGAGAGGAUGAUCAGUCACACUGGAACUGAGACACGGUCCAGACUCCUACGGGAGGCAGCAGUGGGGAAUAUUGGACAAUGGGCGAAAGCCUGAUCCAGCCAUGCCGCGUGUGUGAAGAAGGUCUUCGGAUUGUAAAGCACUUUAAGUUGGGAGGAAGGGCAGUAAGUUAAUACCUUGCUGUUUUGACGUUACCGACAGAAUAAGCACCGGCUAACUCUGUGCCAGCAGCCGCGGUAAUACAGAGGGUGCAAGCGUUAAUCGGAAUUACUGGGCGUAAAGCGCGCGUAGGUGGUUCGUUAAGUUGGAUGUGAAAGCCCCGGGCUCAACCUGGGAACUGCAUCCAAAACUGGCGAGCUAGAGUACGGUAGAGGGUGGUGGAAUUUCCUGUGUAGCGGUGAAAUGCGUA